UGAUGUACACAAUAAUGGGUCCCUGUUUUAUUAUGUUUACUAGGAGGGAGAUUAUUUUGUAAAUGUGAUUUUAAAUGUAGUAGAAAUUCAGAUGUCAGAGACUUGCUUUUUAACUUUAUAUAUUCCAAUAUAUUUAAUGUUAAUAUAUUCUAUAAUUCUAAGCAGUGGAGUACAUUUCUAGCUACUGUUGCAGCUCCAGCUGUCUGAUCUCGCAUUCUCGGAUCUGCAAACAAGUUUGAGACAUCAUGGUAAUUAUACAGAAUACAGUGUGAACAUGGACAAACAGAAAGAAAAAAAAAAUUUACUUGCAAAACUUAAUUUUCUACUUUUGAAUGAUAUAAAUCUUACAGAUACCGGGAAGUAUAGUGGGACAUUCAUUUUUAUUUUCUGAUUAAAGUAACACAGCCAUGCUCUACAAGAUCACCUCUUGUGUUGCAUUUUAGUCAAAUUAACUUAGUAACCUACAU
Molecule: long non-coding RNA, 467 nt
Filed under: Lytechinus variegatus (green sea urchin)
Lineage: Eukaryota; Metazoa; Echinodermata; Echinoidea; Temnopleuroida; Toxopneustidae
Description: uncharacterized LOC121409938
Source: RNAcentral